This 469-nucleotide ribosomal RNA is filed under the name Pantoea agglomerans. Its description in RNAcentral is "bacterial SSU rRNA". It matches the Rfam family "Bacterial small subunit ribosomal RNA", at positions 1 to 468 of the family's 1533-position model. The record is from RNAcentral. Lineage: Bacteria; Pseudomonadati; Pseudomonadota; Gammaproteobacteria; Enterobacterales; Erwiniaceae.
AAAUUGAAGAGUUUGAUCAUGGCUCAGAUUGAACGCUGGCGGCAGGCCUAACACAUGCAAGUCGGACGGUAGCACAGAGAGCUUGCUCUUGGGUGACGAGUGGCGGACGGGUGAGUAAUGUCUGGGGAUCUGCCCGAUAGAGGGGGAUAACCACUGGAAACGGUGGCUAAUACCGCAUAACGUCGCAAGACCAAAGAGGGGGACCUUCGGGCCUCUCACUAUCGGAUGAACCCAGAUGGGAUUAGCUAGUAGGCGGGGUAAUGGCCCACCUAGGCGACGAUCCCUAGCUGGUCUGAGAGGAUGACCAGCCACACUGGAACUGAGACACGGUCCAGACUCCUACGGGAGGCAGCAGUGGGGAAUAUUGCACAAUGGGCGCAAGCCUGAUGCAGCCAUGCCGCGUGUAUGAAGAAGGCCUUCGGGUUGUAAAGUACUUUCAGCGGGGAGGAAGGCGAUGCGGUUAAUAACC